This 351-nucleotide long non-coding RNA is filed under the name Durio zibethinus. Its description in RNAcentral is "long non-coding RNA (DZIB_LNC002129)". Lineage: Eukaryota; Viridiplantae; Streptophyta; Magnoliopsida; Malvales; Malvaceae. The record is from RNAcentral.
CCAGACUUUUACGAAAUCCUGACUUAUGUUUUUUGACAUAUAUCUUGUCAGGAGUCUUUAGAUGCAAACCCAAUAAGACCGAAUAUUCUUCUAUGGUGGGAGUCAUAUCAGCUUCGUUAAAGAUAAAACACCUGUAUGUAGGAUCCCAGAAUUGUGUUGCAGCUCUAAUUAGUUGAUCAUCAACAGCCACUGCUAGAAGGUGUGCUAUAUGCCCAUGCUUCUGACAAAACUGCCCUUGUCUUGACAGACUCAUCUUUUUCCAGAUGUCAACCAAAUCUUCUAAAUUGUUCUGUUUGAGGAGGACAGAUGUUUCUUGAGACAGAGUAGACUCAUACCCAAUUGGCAAGCAAU